GCUGGGUGAGGUAGCAUGCACCUGUAAUCCAAGCUACUUGGGAGGCUGAGUUGGGAGAAUUGCUUGAGCCCAGGGAGAUUGAGGCUGCAGUGAGCCUUGUUUGUACCACCGCACUCCAGCCUGGGCAACAAAGUGAGACCCUGUCUCAA
Molecule: non-coding RNA, 149 nt
Organism: Homo sapiens (human)
Lineage: Eukaryota; Metazoa; Chordata; Mammalia; Primates; Hominidae
Rfam family: Metazoan signal recognition particle RNA
About the family: The signal recognition particle (SRP) is a universally conserved ribonucleoprotein. It is involved in the co-translational targeting of proteins to membranes. The eukaryotic SRP consists of a 300-nucleotide 7S RNA and six proteins: SRPs 72, 68, 54, 19, 14, and 9.
Source: Rfam